UUGUUUCAGGCACUCCAGGUAUCCCUUCAGGAGAUGUAAAAUGGUCCACAUCAUGGCCCACUCUUCCAUGUCCACCAAAUUCAAAUGCAUCACUAUCCAAUGCAACUCUAUACUUCCCAGGCAAGUCGCACCCAACCUUGUACCCAUCAUAUGUAUUUUCUGCAUGAAAAUUGAACACAAAAACCAGAUCCCCAAGCUCAAAGACAAUAACCUUAUCUUCAUCAUUUGUGCUGCUCACAAUCUGCUUUGUUGAUGCUAGAAAUGAAUAUUUUUCAUCAAGCAAGUUCAUAGCUUUGUCAAAUGCAUUCAUGAACUUGUAUCUCAAGUGUUCGGUGUCAACUAGGUUCCACUGGCGUCUGCACUUGUCAUAACUCCACCCAUUGCCUUCUCUUGGGAAGUCAAUCCACUCAGGAUGGCCAAACUCAUUUCCCAUAAAAUUAAGGUAGCCCUCACCCCCUAACGCCAUAGUUAAAAGGUGUAUCAUCUUAUGAAGCGCUAUCCCUCGCUCAAUCAUAGGUGAGGGAUCUGUCAAGCAAGACAUUCCAGAAUACAUUUCUUUAUCCAUUAGUAAAAAGGCAAUUGUCUUGUCACCUACAAUGGCUUGAUCAUGACUCUCGGCAUAAGCAACAUAUUUCUCAGUGUGUCUUCUAUUAGUCAAGCUCCAUGAAAUUUCCUUCACUGACCACUCUUCAUCACUCUUGUUUUUCAAGUAAUCAAUCCAUUUAUCAGGGAUGGCCAUUGCUAGGCGAUAGUCAAAACCAAUUCCACCCUCAGAGACAGACCGGCCAAGCCCGGGCAUGCCAGAAACAUCUUCAGCAAUCACAGUAGCAUCUGGGAAGAUGUUGUAAAUCAGAGAAUUGGCCAGCAUCAGAUAAACAACAGCAUCAACAUCAGUUGCCUCACUGAAAUAAUCAUUAUAAUCCCCUGUAAAUACCAUGUUGAUCCCAUGGUGAUGGUAUAACAUUGAAGUUACUCCAUCAAAUCGGAAUCCAUCAAAUUUGUACUCCUCAAGCCACCAUCUUAAGUUGGACAGAAGGAAGCGAAGAACUUCCCAAUUAGCAUAAUUAAAUAGCCUGCUAUCCCAUAACUUAUGGUAGCCUCGAUCUCCAGUGUGAAAAUAGGAAUCUUGAGAACUUUGGCCAACAUCAAAGCCAUUAAGGCCAUCAGU
This 1168-nucleotide unclassified non-coding RNA is filed under the name Hevea brasiliensis (rubber tree). The record is from RNAcentral. Lineage: Eukaryota; Viridiplantae; Streptophyta; Magnoliopsida; Malpighiales; Euphorbiaceae.